Molecule: ribosomal RNA, 447 nt
Filed under: uncultured bacterium
Lineage: Bacteria
Description: bacterial SSU rRNA
Rfam family: Bacterial small subunit ribosomal RNA
Source: RNAcentral
GAUCAUGGCUCAGAACGAACGCUGGCGGCAUGCCUAACACAUGCAAGUCGAACGAGACCUUCGGGUCUAGUGGCGCACGGGUGCGUAACGCGUGGGAAUCUGCCCUUUGCUUCGGAAUUAACAGUUAGAAAUGACUGCUAAUACCGGAUGAUGUCUUCGGACCAAAGAUUUAUCGGCAAAGGAUGAGCCCGCGUAGGAUUAGGUAGUUGGUGGGGUAAAGGCCUACCAAGCCGGCGAUCCUUAGCUGGUCUGAGAGGAUGAUCAGCCACACUGGGACUGAGACACGGCCCAGACUCCUACGGGAGGCAGCAGUGGGGAAUAUUGGACAAUGGGCGCAAGCCUGAUCCAGCAAUGCCGCGUGAGUGAUGAAGGCCUUCGGGUCGUAAAGCUCUUUUACCAGGGAUGAUAAUGACAGUACCUGGAGAAUAAGCUCCGGCUAACUCCGUG